RNA transcript from Cydia splendana, 1041 nucleotides. It is a transcript of the gene named uridine diphosphate glucose pyrophosphatase NUDT14-like, with no coding region annotated. The transcript is spliced from 6 exons. NCBI's taxonomy places the organism in Eukaryota, Metazoa, Arthropoda, Insecta, Lepidoptera, Tortricidae. The record is from RefSeq and is a predicted model, not a curated record.
UACUUGCGGUCGCAGCGUAAUCGGCGUAUAUUUUAUUUAUUGUAAAUUAAAAUAUUUAUUAUUUUGAAGUGUAUAUAAAUUGUCAGUGUGGUUAAUUAGAUUAGAGAUAAUUCAUACUGAACAUACAUACGAGUUUAUUAGAUUUCGACAAACGUAUAGCAAAGAAGUUAUUUGUAAUUGUACCAUGGAGGAUGUAAAAAAUAUUCGUGUAACCCCUAUGCCAGAAUCUAAAUACGUGAAGCCGCUAAGGUUCCACUACACUCAGAAUGGGAAGGAAAAGAACUGGGAUCUACUGGCAGUUCACGACAGCGUGGCUAUCGUUAUUUACAAUGUUACGAGAAAAGUUUUGGUGUUAGUUAAACAGUUCCGUCCAGCCAUGCACUUCAACAGCAUUCUCCCAGAAGACCGUGAGAAGGAAACCAUAGACAUUGAGAAGUAUCCCCCCUCUCUGGGACUGGCCCUCGAGAUAUGCGCUGGGAUUGUAGACAAGGAGAAAUCAGUGGUGGAUAUAGCCAUUGAAGAAGUGUUGGAAGAGUGUGGGUAUAAUGUUCCUGCUGAAAAAAUGGAAAGGAUUAUUUCUUACAGGUCAGGAGUUGGUGUGCAAGCUGCUCUGCAGACACUCUUUUUCUGUGAAGUGUCAGAUGACAUGAAAACUGAGCGUGGCGGAGGAGUUGACGAUGAACUCAUUGAUAUUGUGGAGAUGACAAUUCCCGAGAUGGAAAAGUUACUGAGCUCUCCGGGACCUGUGCAGAGCCCACCCAGCUUCCUGUUCGCCAUGAUGUGGUUCUUGCACAACAAGGCUAGCAAGUAUAUGUAGUCGGUCGUUUGCCUACACUUGCUCUGAAUGCAAAAAGCACAAACCAACAGUUUGGGAUUGGCUCAUACAGUGACAGUAAGUAGGCAAUAGAAGAAUAUUACAUCUUUUACCCUAAUAAAAUGUUAAUUUAUUCCUAAUCUAUUGUUAUUUCUGGUUAUAAAUGCAUAAUUUGAAACUGUGAUUAUUGUAUUGUAUUUUUGAAAUAUGAAAUUGUUAAUAAGGAA